Molecule: ribosomal RNA, 515 nt
Filed under: uncultured Alphaproteobacteria bacterium
Lineage: Bacteria; Pseudomonadati; Pseudomonadota; Alphaproteobacteria
Description: bacterial SSU rRNA
Rfam family: Bacterial small subunit ribosomal RNA
Source: RNAcentral
AAGAAAAAAGAACACGUGGCGGGGCCUACACAUGCAAGUCACGCGCUUCGGGUGAGCGGGGACGGGUUAGCUAAACGCGUGGGAACGUGCCCUUCUCAUACGGCAAUAGCCUCUGGAAACGGAGAGUAAUACCGUAUACGCCCUUUGGGGGAAAGAAUUUAUCGGAGAAGGAUCGGCCCGCCCGGUUUAAGAUUAAGGUAGUUUUGGGGGAUUUGGAGGGGGUAACCGAGCCAUUACCCCAAGCCUACGAUCUAAUUAAGGCCUUGGUUUUAGAAGGAUGAUCAGCAACACUGGGACUGAGACACGGCCAACUCCUACGGAGGCAGCAGUGGGGAAAUCUUAGACAUGGGGGGCACACCCCUGAUCUAGCCAUGCCGCGUGAGUGAUGAAAGGGUGCCUUAGGUCGAAAGUCUUUCGCCUGUGAUGAUAAUGACAGUAGCAGGUAAAGAAACCCCGGCUAACUCCGAAUGCACAGCAGCCGCGGUAAUACGGAGGGGGUUAGCGUUGAUUCAGGA